This 358-nucleotide ribosomal RNA is filed under the name Minettia lupulina. RNAcentral describes it as "partial 12S ribosomal RNA". The record is from RNAcentral. Lineage: Eukaryota; Metazoa; Arthropoda; Insecta; Diptera; Lauxaniidae.
UUAAAAUGUAAAAUAAAAAAUUUGAGUAGUAUUAGAUAUGAUCUUGAAACUUAAAAAAUUUGGCGGUAUUUUAGUCUAUUCAGAGGAACCUGUUCUAUAAUCGAUAAUCCACGAUGGACCUUACUUAAAUUUGUUAAUCAGUUUAUAUACCGUCGUUAUUAGAAUAUUUUGUAAAAAUAAUAAUUUUCUAUAAUUUUAAUUAAAAUAUAUAUCAGAUCAAGGUGUAGCUUAUAUUUAAGAAGAAAUGGGUUACAAUAAAUUUAUUUAAAUGGAUAUAAAAAUGAAAAAGUUAUUGAAAGUGGAUUUGAUAGUAAAAUUAUAAAGAUUAAUAAUUUGAUUUUAGCUCUAAAAUAUGCAC